UACGUAGGGUGCGAGCGUUGUCCGGAAUUACUGGGCGUAAAGAGCUCGUAGGUGGUUUGUCGCGUUGUCCGUGAAAACUCACAACUCAAUUGUGGGCGUGCGGGCGAUACGGGCAGACUGGAGUACUGCAGGGGAGACUGGAAUUCCUGGUGUAGCGGUGGAAUGCGCAGAUAUCAGGAGGAACACCGGUGGCGAAGGCGGGUCUCUGGGGCUUUGCUGACGCUGAUGCGCGAAAGCGUGGGGAGCGAUCCGG
RNAcentral lists this ribosomal RNA (253 nucleotides) under uncultured bacterium. Its description in RNAcentral is "partial 16S ribosomal RNA". It matches the Rfam family "Bacterial small subunit ribosomal RNA", at positions 524 to 776 of the family's 1533-position model. The record is from RNAcentral.